CUUAUCAAGAGUGGCUGAGGAACAGGUCCUGUGAAGCCCGGCAACCUGGCGCAGCAUUUUGUGCAAUGCGCCGAUGGUGCCAAGUCCUGCGGUAUGACCGAGAGAUGAGG
This 110-nucleotide non-coding RNA is filed under the name bovine gut metagenome. RNAcentral describes it as "SAM riboswitch (S box leader)". It matches the Rfam family "SAM riboswitch aptamer (S box leader)". Rfam says of the family: The SAM riboswitch is found upstream of a number of genes which code for proteins involved in methionine or cysteine biosynthesis in Gram-positive bacteria. The record is from RNAcentral.